GAUGAACGCUGGCGGCGCGCCUAACACAUGCAAGUCGAACGGCACCCCUCCUCGGAGGGAAGCGAGUGGCGAACGGCUGAGUAACACGUGGAGAACCUGCCCCCUCCCCCGGGAUAGCCGCCCGAAAGGACGGGUAAUACCGGAUACCCCGGGGUGCCGCAUGGCACCCCGGCUAAAGCCCCGACGGGAGGGGAUGGCUCCGCGGCCCAUCAGGUAGACGGCGGGGUGACGGCCCACCGUGCCGACAACGGGUAGCCGGGUUGAGAGACCGACCGGCCAGAUUGGGACUGAGACGCGGCCCAGACUCCUACGGGAGGCAGCAGUGGGGAAUCUUGCGCAAUGGGGGGAACCCUGACGCAGCGACGCCGCGUGCGGGACGGAGGCCUUCGGGUCGUAAACCGCUUUCAGCAGGGAAGAGUCAAGACUGUACCUGCAGAAGAAGCCCCGGCUAACUACGUG
This 459-nucleotide ribosomal RNA is filed under the name uncultured bacterium. Its description in RNAcentral is "partial 16S ribosomal RNA". It matches the Rfam family "Bacterial small subunit ribosomal RNA", at positions 28 to 507 of the family's 1533-position model. The record is from RNAcentral.